UACGUAGGUGGCAAGCGUUGUCCGGAAUUAUUGGGCGUAAAGCGCGCGCAGGCGGUCCCUUAAGUCUGAUGUGAAAGCCCACGGCUCAACCGUGGAGGGUCAUUGGAAACUGGGGGACUUGAGUACAGAAGAGGAAAGCGGAAUUCCACGUGUAGCGGUGAAAUGCGUAGAGAUGUGGAGGAACACCAGUGGCGAAGGCGGCUUUCUGGUCUGUAACUGACGCUGAGGCGCGAAAACGUGGGGAGCAAACAGG
RNAcentral lists this ribosomal RNA (253 nucleotides) under uncultured bacterium. RNAcentral describes it as "partial 16S ribosomal RNA". It matches the Rfam family "Bacterial small subunit ribosomal RNA", at positions 524 to 776 of the family's 1533-position model. The record is from RNAcentral.